This 497-nucleotide ribosomal RNA is filed under the name uncultured bacterium. Its description in RNAcentral is "partial 16S ribosomal RNA". It matches the Rfam family "Bacterial small subunit ribosomal RNA", at positions 28 to 507 of the family's 1533-position model. The record is from RNAcentral.
GAUGAACGCUGGCGGCGUGCCUAAUACAUGCAAGUCGAGCGAACAGACGAGGAGCUUGCUCCUCUGACGUUAGCGGCGGACGGGUGAGUAACACGUGGAUAACCUACCUAUAAGACUGGGAUAACUUCGGGAAACCGGAGCUAAUACCGGAUAAUAUAUUGAACCGCAUGGUUCAAUAGUGAAAGACGGUUUUGCUGUCACUUAUAGAUGGAUCCGCGCCGCAUUAGCUAGUUGGUAAGGUAACGGCUUACCAAGGCAACGAUGCGUAGCCGACCUGAGAGGGUGAUCGGCCACACUGGAACUGAGACACGGUCCAGACUCCUACGGGAGGCAGCAGUAGGGAAUCUUCCGCAAUGGGCGAAAGCCUGACGGAGCAACGCCGCGUGAAUGAUGAAGGUCUUCGGAUCGUAAAACUCUGUUAUUAGGGAAGAACAAAUGCGUAAGUAACUAUGCACGUCUUGACGGUACCUAAUCAGAAAGCCACGGCUAACUACGUG